AGGGUAGCAACUAGCCAAGCUUCAACAAAAGUAUUGAAAAUACAUUUGUCUGCUUUAAAUGGUUAAUGAACCAAUUUGAAUAGAAUUAAAAGCUACAUUUACAUCUGAACAAAGUAUCAUAAACAACACACAAUAAAAGCAAUAAUAUGUAAAAAUGAGGGAAAUGUAAAAAAUUAUAUAAAAAUAGAAUAAUAUUGCCUCUUUCUGGAGGAGACACGCACAAUUUGUUUAAUUAUAAUUAACAACUUUAUCACACAACAGAAAAUUCAUUCACAUCAAUUAGUUUUUGUCAAGCUUGACAAAAUUUUUGAUGCUUGACUUGCGACGCCAAUUUACAAACACAAAAUACAACAAAAUAAUGAAAAGACAACUUGCCGAUGCCGAGAUUUACAUAAAUAUAUUUUAAUGAACUAAUUUUGCAAGCCAAAUCGAAAGACGCUAAGAUGAAAAAGAAUCAAGAAGAAAAAAGAAACAGAAUUUGCGGCAGGUGCCAAGAAAAAACGAAGAGAAAACAACAAUAAAAAUUAAGAAGUCAAAGGGGAAGUCACGAAAAUAUCAAUGAAUUGGGGUUGAUAAACGCCAUAAAUAAUGAUACAUAAUGACUCCCAAUGGAAUCAAGUUGAGAAAGCGGAGAAUGGAGACAGCAGCAUCAAAAGAAUACAGGGUAUCUACUAAGCCAAUCAGUCUCCCAAGUCUUGCAGCUUAACGAGAUUGAAGGCAACAUUUCCAAUGGAUUUUUUAUGUGCAAUCCAUUAAACAAUAAAGAGAAAAUCAAAAAAAAGCUAAAAAUCCGAUUUGGCCCAGGCACCAGGCAAGAAAAUUUCUUGGAAGCUGAAAUCAGCGUGCAGCUUUGCCACUAAAGAGCUUGCCAACAACAACACAACGAUGACGACGACGUCGGGCACAUUUAAAGAUCUCAACGGCUGUGUUGGCGGCGUUGCCUGGCACCAAAAAACUGGUCACCAAUAGGCUGGCGGAGAGAUGACGAAGCGGGUGGCGGUGGCGCUCUUGCUGUUGCUGAAGCUGUGACUGUAGCUCUGCGGCUGCGACUGCGACUGCGGCUGCUGCUGCUGUAGCCAAUGCUGGCGGUGGGCAAAUGUUGCAAGCCAGAGCAGCAGACAAUCUAUAACUAUACUCGUAUACACAAGGGUUCCAUAUAAGUACAUACACAACAGACGUACAAAGGUAGCUACAAAGGUAGUCUUGUUAUUGUUCGAAAAGAAAAAUCAUUCAAUAACUGAGUAAUCAUAAAGCUUAACUCUAUACAAA
Molecule: long non-coding RNA, 1269 nt
Organism: Drosophila sulfurigaster albostrigata
Lineage: Eukaryota; Metazoa; Arthropoda; Insecta; Diptera; Drosophilidae
Exons: 2
Source: RefSeq, a predicted model, not a curated record